Molecule: long non-coding RNA, 205 nt
Filed under: Hordeum vulgare
Lineage: Eukaryota; Viridiplantae; Streptophyta; Magnoliopsida; Poales; Poaceae
Description: long non-coding RNA (HVUL_LNC018893)
Source: RNAcentral
GAGUAGGCAUUGAGGUUGGUUUAUGUUAUGACCGGUACAACGUACCAACGGAGGAGGCCCAGUGGGCAGGGUUAAUUACGGGCUUAGCCCAAGUUAUCUUACCUAUCUUAGAAGUCCAAUUAUAUUAGAGUCCAAGUUAUAUUAGAGUCCAAGUUAGAGUCCAAGUUAUCUAGGGUUUAGUGGAGUCUGUCCUCCUUUAUAAANN